This is a long non-coding RNA of Portunus trituberculatus (swimming crab), 465 nucleotides long. RefSeq lists it as uncharacterized. The record is from RefSeq and is a predicted model, not a curated record. The transcript is spliced from 4 exons. NCBI's taxonomy places the organism in Eukaryota, Metazoa, Arthropoda, Malacostraca, Decapoda, Portunidae.
AAAAGAAAUAAAAACAGACGAAAACAGGAUCUAGGUAGGUAUAGAUAAUGAGAAAUGGAUCAUAAUGGAGUGCCGUUCGAAAGACAACAUUUCCGUCACCUUAUAGGAAGUUGAUCCACGUUUUAGAGGAAAACAAACGCGUCAGUCUUAACAUUUUCCCUUGUGUAGUGUGUUUGCAGCAAUAUCCAAGGACGAGACGCUGCAAGAAGGGACCUGGAUCGCUAAGUACGUGUGGGACAGCCAGCCACACUCCCUCUACCGGUCAGCUUGGACGGCCUUAUGCGACGUCUAUAAAGGAACUCCGUACAUUCAGGUCAGGCGGGGCAGCAAACCCAUGGAAGAGGGACGAGAGUGAGACAAGAGGCCCCACACACGCACGGCAGAGAUGAAGGUGUGUUACGUAAAUCCUCGAGCCAAGCCUUAUCUGGUUGCCAAUUUGCAUAUCGCGACCCAAUUUUGGCAGGU